CCUACGGGUGGCAGCAGUGAGGAAUAUUGGUCAAUGGGCUUACGCCUGAACCAGCCAAGUCGCGUGAGGGAAGACUGCCCUAUGGGUUGUAAACCUCUUUUGUCAGGGAGCAACGCCGGCUACGUGUAGCCGGACUGAGAGUACCUGAAGACAAAGCAUCGGCUAACUCCGUGCCAGCAGCCGCGGUAAUACGGAGGAUGCGAGCGUUAUCCGGAUUUAUUGGGUUUAAAGGGUGCGUAGGCGGAAUGCCAAGUCAGCGGUAAAAUCGCGGGGCUCAACCUCGCUCCGCCGUUGAAACUGGCGGUCUUGAGUGGGCGAGAGGUAGGCAGAAUGCGUGGUGUAGCGGUGAAAUGCGUAGAUAUCACGCAGAACUCCGAUGGCGAAGGCAGCAUACCGGAGCCCAACUGACGCUGAAGCGCGAAAGCGUGGGUAUCGAACAGGAUUAGAUACCCUUGUAGUC
This 460-nucleotide ribosomal RNA is filed under the name uncultured bacterium. RNAcentral's name for it is "partial 16S ribosomal RNA". It matches the Rfam family "Bacterial small subunit ribosomal RNA", at positions 338 to 795 of the family's 1533-position model. The record is from RNAcentral.